CUGCAGCCCGAGUGGUGAUCGAUUUUAUUGAGCCUAAAGCGUCCGUAGCCGGUCUAGUAAACUCUUGGGUAAAUUGGGCAGCUUAACUGUCCAAAUUCCGAGGGGACUGCUAGUCUUGGGACCGGGAGAGGUCAGAGGUACUCAAGGGGUAGGGGCUAAAUCCUGUAAUCCUUUGGGGACCACCAGUGGCGAAGGCGUCUGACUAGAACGGAUCCGACGGUAAGGGACGAAACCCUGGGGCGCGAACCGGAUUAGAUACCCGCGUAGUCC
RNAcentral lists this ribosomal RNA (270 nucleotides) under uncultured archaeon. RNAcentral's name for it is "partial 16S ribosomal RNA". It matches the Rfam family "Archaeal small subunit ribosomal RNA", at positions 477 to 747 of the family's 1478-position model. The record is from RNAcentral.